UACGUAGGGUGCAAGCGUUGUCCGGAAUUAUUGGGCGUAAAGAGCUCGUAGGUGGCCUGUCGCGUCGGCUGUGAAAACUCGGGGCUCAACUCCGAGCUUGCAGUCGAUACGGGCAGGCUAGAGUUCGGCAGGGGAGACUGGAAUUCCUGGUGUAGCGGUGAAAUUCGUAGAUAUCCGGAGGAACACCAGUGGCGAAAGCGGCCACCUGGACUGCACCUGACGCUGACACGCGAAAGCUAGGGGAGCGAACGGG
RNAcentral lists this ribosomal RNA (253 nucleotides) under uncultured bacterium. RNAcentral describes it as "partial 16S ribosomal RNA". It matches the Rfam family "Bacterial small subunit ribosomal RNA", at positions 524 to 776 of the family's 1533-position model. The record is from RNAcentral.